RNAcentral lists this ribosomal RNA (304 nucleotides) under uncultured bacterium. RNAcentral's name for it is "partial 16S ribosomal RNA". It matches the Rfam family "Bacterial small subunit ribosomal RNA", at positions 506 to 807 of the family's 1533-position model. The record is from RNAcentral.
CAGCAGCCGCCGCGGUAAUACGUAGGUGGCAAGCGUUGUCCGGAAUUAUUGGGCGUAAAGGGCUCGCAGGCGGUUUCUUAAGUCCGAUGUGAAAGCCCCCGGCUCAACCGGGGAGGGUCAUUGGAAACUGGGAAACUUGAGUGCAGAAGAGGAGAGUGGAAUUCCACGUGUAGCGGUGAAAUGCGUAGAGAUGUGGAGGAACACCAGUGGCGAAGGCGACUCUCUGGUCUGUAACUGACGCUGAGGAGCGAAAGCGUGGGGAGCGAACAGGAUUAGAUACCCCAGUAGUCCCUGUCUCUUAUAC